RNAcentral lists this small nuclear RNA (62 nucleotides) under Otolemur garnettii (small-eared galago). RNAcentral describes it as "U7 small nuclear RNA". It matches the Rfam family "U7 small nuclear RNA". Rfam says of the family: Animal histone pre-mRNAs are spliced by a different mechanism than nuclear pre-mRNAs and self-splicing introns. This processing involves the U7 snRNP, which contains only one RNA species: U7. Lineage: Eukaryota; Metazoa; Chordata; Mammalia; Primates; Galagidae. The record is from Rfam by way of RNAcentral.
CAGUGUUACGGCUCUUUUAGAAUUUGCCUAGCAGGUUUUCCAGCCUCUACCAGAAGACCUAU